UUUUUUAUGGAGAGUUUGAUCCUGGCUCAGGACGAACGCUGGCGGCGUGCUUAACACAUGCAAGUCGAACGGUAAGGCCCCUUCGGGGGUACACGAGUGGCGAACGGGUGAGUAACACGUGGGUGACCUGCCCUGUACUUCGGGAU
Molecule: ribosomal RNA, 146 nt
Filed under: Tsukamurella pulmonis
Lineage: Bacteria; Bacillati; Actinomycetota; Actinomycetes; Mycobacteriales; Tsukamurellaceae
Description: partial 16S ribosomal RNA
Rfam family: Bacterial small subunit ribosomal RNA
Source: RNAcentral